RNAcentral lists this ribosomal RNA (474 nucleotides) under uncultured organism. RNAcentral describes it as "partial 16S ribosomal RNA". It matches the Rfam family "Bacterial small subunit ribosomal RNA", at positions 334 to 799 of the family's 1533-position model. The record is from RNAcentral.
CACUCCUACGGGAGGCAGCAGUGGGGAAUUUUGGACAAUGGGCGAAAGCCUGAUCCAGCCAUGCCGCGUGCAGGAUGAAGGCCUUCGGGUUGUAAACUGCUUUUGUACGGAACGAAACGGCCUUUUCUAAUAACGAGGGCUAAUGACGGUACCGUAAGAAUAAGCACCGGCUAACUACGUGCCAGCAGCCGCGGUAAUACGUAGGGUGCAAGCGUUAAUCGGAAUUACUGGGCGUAAGGCGUGCGCAGGCGGUUAUGUAAGACAGUUGUGAAAUCCCCGGGCUCAACCUGGGAACUGCAUCUGUGACUGCAUAGCUAGAGUACGGUAGAGGGGGAUGGAAUUCCGCGUGUAGCAGUGAGAUGCGUAGAGAUGCGGAGGAACACCGAUGGCGAAGGCAAUCCCCUGGACCUGUACUGACGCUCAUGCACGAAAGCGUGGGGAGCAAACAGGAUUAGAAACCCUGGUAGUCCCAUG